RNAcentral lists this ribosomal RNA (1401 nucleotides) under Staphylococcus pseudoxylosus. RNAcentral's name for it is "bacterial SSU rRNA". It matches the Rfam family "Bacterial small subunit ribosomal RNA". The record is from RNAcentral. Lineage: Bacteria; Bacillati; Bacillota; Bacilli; Caryophanales; Staphylococcaceae.
UCGAGCGAACAGAUAAGGAGCUUGCUCCUUUGACGUUAGCGGCGGACGGGUGAGUAACACGUGGGUAACCUACCUAUAAGACUGGGAUAACUUCGGGAAACCGGAGCUAAUACCGGAUAACAUUUGGAACCGCAUGGUUCUAAAGUGAAAGAUGGUUUUGCUAUCACUUAUAGAUGGACCCGCGCCGUAUUAGCUAGUUGGUAAGGUAACGGCUUACCAAGGCGACGAUACGUAGCCGACCUGAGAGGGUGAUCGGCCACACUGGAACUGAGACACGGUCCAGACUCCUACGGGAGGCAGCAGUAGGGAAUCUUCCGCAAUGGGCGAAAGCCUGACGGAGCAACGCCGCGUGAGUGAUGAAGGGUUUCGGCUCGUAAAACUCUGUUAUUAGGGAAGAACAAAUGUGUAAGUAACUGUGCACAUCUUGACGGUACCUAAUCAGAAAGCCACGGCUAACUACGUGCCAGCAGCCGCGGUAAUACGUAGGUGGCAAGCGUUAUCCGGAAUUAUUGGGCGUAAAGCGCGCGUAGGCGGUUUCUUAAGUCUGAUGUGAAAGCCCACGGCUCAACCGUGGAGGGUCAUUGGAAACUGGGAAACUUGAGUGCAGAAGAGGAAAGUGGAAUUCCAUGUGUAGCGGUGAAAUGCGCAGAGAUAUGGAGGAACACCAGUGGCGAAGGCGACUUUCUGGUCUGUAACUGACGCUGAUGUGCGAAAGCGUGGGGAUCAAACAGGAUUAGAUACCCUGGUAGUCCACGCCGUAAACGAUGAGUGCUAAGUGUUAGGGGGUUUCCGCCCCUUAGUGCUGCAGCUAACGCAUUAAGCACUCCGCCUGGGGAGUACGACCGCAAGGUUGAAACUCAAAGGAAUUGACGGGGACCCGCACAAGCGGUGGAGCAUGUGGUUUAAUUCGAAGCAACGCGAAGAACCUUACCAAAUCUUGACAUCCUUUGAAAACUCUAGAGAUAGAGCCUUCCCCUUCGGGGGACAAAGUGACAGGUGGUGCAUGGUUGUCGUCAGCUCGUGUCGUGAGAUGUUGGGUUAAGUCCCGCAACGAGCGCAACCCUUAAGCUUAGUUGCCAUCAUUAAGUUGGGCACUCUAGGUUGACUGCCGGUGACAAACCGGAGGAAGGUGGGGAUGACGUCAAAUCAUCAUGCCCCUUAUGAUUUGGGCUACACACGUGCUACAAUGGACAAUACAAAGGGCAGCUAAACCGCGAGGUCAUGCAAAUCCCAUAAAGUUGUUCUCAGUUCGGAUUGUAGUCUGCAACUCGACUACAUGAAGCUGGAAUCGCUAGUAAUCGUAGAUCAGCAUGCUACGGUGAAUACGUUCCCGGGUCUUGUACACACCGCCCGUCACACCACGAGAGUUUGUAACACCCGAAGCCGGUGGAGUAACCAUUU